UGCAGGUGUGCGUAGGAAUAAGCUCAGGUCGUCUUUUGACGGCAACUCCAAGUGGGUGGGAUCCUGAGUCCUAGGACCUGCAUUUUU
RNAcentral lists this non-coding RNA (87 nucleotides) under unclassified sequences. RNAcentral describes it as "DUF3800-VII RNA". It matches the Rfam family "DUF3800-VII RNA". The record is from Rfam by way of RNAcentral.